RNAcentral lists this ribosomal RNA (701 nucleotides) under uncultured bacterium. Its description in RNAcentral is "bacterial SSU rRNA". It matches the Rfam family "Bacterial small subunit ribosomal RNA", at positions 86 to 783 of the family's 1533-position model. The record is from RNAcentral.
UGGUGGCGAGUGGCGAACGGGUGAGUAAUAUAUCGGAACGUGCCCAGUCGUGGGGGAUAACGUAGCGAAAGUUACGCUAAUACCGCAUACGAUCUAUGGAUGAAAGCGGGGGAUCGCAAGACCUCGCGCGAUUGGAGCGGCCGAUAUCAGAUUAGGUAGUUGGUGGGGUAAAGGCUCACCAAGCCGACGACCUGUAGCUGGUCUGAGAGGACGACCAGCCACACUGGGACUGAGACACGGCCCAGACUCCUACGGGAGGCAGCAGUGGGGAAUUUUGGACAAUGGGCGAAAGCCUGAUCCAGCCAUGCCGCGUGCAGGAUGAAGGCCUUCGGGUUGUAAACUGCUUUUGUACGGAACGAAAAGGUCCGCCCUAAUACGGCGGGCUCAUGACGGUACCGUAAGAAUAAGCACCGGCUAACUACGUGCCAGCAGCCGCGGUAAUACGUAGGGUGCAAGCGUUAAUCGGAAUUACUGGGCGUAAAGCGUGCGCAGGCGGUUAUGUAAGACAGAUGUGAAGUCCCCGGGCUCAACCUGGGAACUGCAUUAGUGACUGCAUAGCUGGAGUACGGCAGAGGGGGAUGGAAUUCCGCGUGUAGCAGUGAAAUGCGUAGAUAUGCGGAGGAACACCGAUGGCGAAGGCAAUCCCCUGGGCCUGUACUGACGCUCAUGCACGAAAGCGUGGGGAGCAAACAGGAUUAGAU